Molecule: microRNA precursor, 78 nt
Filed under: Nannospalax galili (Upper Galilee mountains blind mole rat)
Lineage: Eukaryota; Metazoa; Chordata; Mammalia; Rodentia; Spalacidae
Description: miRNA (ENSNGAG00000004569.1)
Source: RNAcentral
GCAGUAUGUAUUUGUGUGUGCAUACAUGUACAUAUGUAUAUGUGCAUGUGUAUAUUCACAAAAUAAUCUAAAUAACAC